UACGGAGGGUGCAAGCGUUGCUCGGAAUUAUUGGGCGUAAAGGGUAGGUAGGUGGUCUUAUUUGUCUGGGGUGAAAGCCUUGAGCUUAACUCAAGAAGUGCCCCAGAAACGGUAAGACUAGAGUCCUAGAGAGGGUCGUGGAAUUCCCGGUGUAGCGGUGAAAUGCGUAGAGAUCGGGAGGAACACCAGAGGCGAAGGCGGCGACCUGGAUAGGUACUGACACUCAACUACGAAAGCGUGGGGAGCAAACAGG
RNAcentral lists this ribosomal RNA (253 nucleotides) under uncultured bacterium. RNAcentral describes it as "partial 16S ribosomal RNA". It matches the Rfam family "Bacterial small subunit ribosomal RNA", at positions 524 to 776 of the family's 1533-position model. The record is from RNAcentral.